RNAcentral lists this ribosomal RNA (349 nucleotides) under uncultured bacterium. RNAcentral describes it as "bacterial SSU rRNA". It matches the Rfam family "Bacterial small subunit ribosomal RNA", at positions 396 to 736 of the family's 1533-position model. The record is from RNAcentral.
GCCGCGUGAGGGAUGAAGGCCUUUGGGUCGUAAACCUCUGUCAGAAGGGAAGAAACCAUGGUCGGUUAAUAUCCGGCCGUACUGACGGUACCUUCAAAGGAAGCACCGGCUAACUCCGUGCCAGCAGCCGCGGUAAUACGGAGGGUGCAAGCGUUGUUCGGAAUUAUUGGGCGUAAAGGGCAUGUAGGCGGUCAGUUAAGUCUGGUGUGAAAGCCCGGGGCUCAACCCCGGAAGUGCAUUGGAUACUGGCUGACUUGAGUAUGGGAGAGGAAGGCGGAAUUCCGAGUGUAGGAGUGAAAUCCGUAGAUAUUCGGAGGAACACCAGUGGCGAAGGCGGCCUUCUGGACCA